RNAcentral lists this ribosomal RNA (1440 nucleotides) under uncultured organism. RNAcentral's name for it is "16S ribosomal RNA". It matches the Rfam family "Bacterial small subunit ribosomal RNA". The record is from RNAcentral.
CAGGCUUAACACAUGCAAGUCGAGGGGCAUCAGGAAGAAAGCUUGCUUUCUUUGCUGGCGACCGGCGCACGGGUGAGUAACACGUAUCCAACCUGCCCUUUACUCGGGGAUAGCCUUUCGAAAGAAAGAUUAAUACCCGAUGGCAUAAUGAUUCCGCAUGGUUUCAUUAUUAAAGGAUUCCGGUAAAGGAUGGGGAUGCGUUCCAUUAGGUUGUUGGUGAGGUAACGGCUCACCAAGCCUUCGAUGGAUAGGGGUUCUGAGAGGAAGGUCCCCCACAUUGGAACUGAGACACGGUCCAAACUCCUACGGGAGGCAGCAGUGAGGAAUAUUGGUCAAUGGGCGCUAGCCUGAACCAGCCAAGUAGCGUGAAGGAUGAAGGCUCUAUGGGUCGUAAACUUCUUUUAUAUAAGAAUAAAGUGCAGUAUGUAUACUGUUUUGUAUGUAUUAUAUGAAUAAGGAUCGGCUAACUCCGUGCCAGCAGCCGCGGUAAUACGGAGGAUCCGAGCGUUAUCCGGAUUUAUUGGGUUUAAAGGGAGCGUAGGUGGACUGGUAAGUCAGUUGUGAAAGUUUGCGGCUCAACCGUAAAAUUGCAGUUGAUACUGUCAGUCUUGAGUACAGUAGAGGUGGGCGGAAUUCGUGGUGUAGCGGUGAAAUGCUUAGAUAUCACGAAGAACUCCGAUUGCGAAGGCAGCUCACUGGACUGCAACUGACACUGAUGCUCGAAAGUGUGGGUAUCAAACAGGAUUAGAUACCCUGGUAGUCCACACAGUAAACGAUGAAUACUCGCUGUUUGCGAUAUACAGUAAGCGGCCAAGCGAAAGCAUUAAGUAUUCCACCUGGGGAGUACGCCGGCAACGGUGAAACUCAAAGGAAUUGACGGGGGCCCGCACAAGCGGAGGAACAUGUGGUUUAAUUCGAUGAUACGCGAGGAACCUUACCCGGGCUUAAAUUGCAGUGGAAUGAUGUGGAAACAUGUCAGUGAGCAAUCACCGCUGUGAAGGUGCUGCAUGGUUGUCGUCAGCUCGUGCCGUGAGGUGUCGGCUUAAGUGCCAUAACGAGCGCAACCCUUAUCUUUAGUUACUAACAGGUCAUGCUGAGGACUCUAGAGAGACUGCCGUCGUAAGAUGUGAGGAAGGUGGGGAUGACGUCAAAUCAGCACGGCCCUUACGUCCGGGGCUACACACGUGUUACAAUGGGGGGUACAGAAGGCAGCUAGCGGGUGACCGUAUGCUAAUCCCAAAAUCCUCUCUCAGUUCGGAUCGAAGUCUGCAACCCGACUUCGUGAAGCUGGAUUCGCUAGUAAUCGCGCAUCAGCCACGGCGCGGUGAAUACGUUCCCGGGCCUUGUACACACCGCCCGUCAAGCCAUGGGAGCCGGGGGUACCUGAAGUACGUAACCGCAAGGAUCGUCCUAGGGUAAAACUGGUGACUGGGGCUAAGU